CUUAGGAUGAACGCUAGCUACAGGCGUUAACACAUGCAAGUCGAGGGGCAGCAUGAUCUGUGCUUGCACAGAUGAUGGCGACCGGCGCACGGUGAGUAACGCGUAUCCAACCUUCCCCCUAGUAGGGCAUAGCCCGGCGAAAGUCGGAUUAAUACCCUAUGUUAUUCGUAGAGGACAUCUGAAAUGAAUCAAAGAUUUAUCGCUAGGGGAUGGGGAUGCGUCCGAUUAGCUUGCCGGCGGGGUAACGGCCCACCGGGGCAACGAUCGGUAGGGGUUCUGAGAGGAAGGUCCCCCACACUGGUACUGAGACACGGACCAGACUCCUACGGGAGGCAGCAGUGAGGAAUAUUGGUCAAUGGGCGUGAGCCUGAACCAGCCAAGUAGCGUGCAGGAUGACGGCCCUAUGGGUUGUAAACUGCUUUUAUGGCGGGGAUAAAGUGCGGCACGUGUGCCGUUUUGUAGGUACCGCAUGAAUAAGGACCGGCUAAUUCCGUGCCAGCCGCGGC
Molecule: ribosomal RNA, 506 nt
Filed under: uncultured bacterium
Lineage: Bacteria
Description: bacterial SSU rRNA
Rfam family: Bacterial small subunit ribosomal RNA
Source: RNAcentral